UGCACUUAAAUCAGAGGAUAUAUGUGUGAAAGCCUAUUAACUUCAGGUUAACGAAUUUCUUAGAAUUUGGUUAACAAAUACAUUUUCUUACUUCCUUUCAGUUGCACAGGAGUUCUGCCUGAUACAUGGCCAGAUGAGAAAUCUACCUUGUAGUAAAUGGGGCAACCAAGCAAGGCUGCAUGGAAAAAAACAUGAGAAAAGAGACAGUAAGAGGGAUGCAGCCCAUGGUUUGUUUUCUGACUAGCAUUCAGUACUUCAUUCUGCCCCGUGCACUGACAUUUGUGAUCAUUUCAUCCUCCUGUUUUGAGUUUCCAAGCCUUGGGCCUGCUGCUGAGAACUCCCUCCCUCCCAUUCUCAGGAAUGACAAUCUCACAGAGCCUUAGGAAUGCAGUUAUUGAGGCAGAUCACUAUCUUGGAGGAAAAGAACCAGACCUGGACAAAAUGCUCCAGUGGCAAUCCCACCAGUGCCAAAUAGAGAGGUAAUGCUGCUCUGAAGUGUCUGGAUUCUCAAAAUAACACUCUAAUGAUGGUGCAUCCUCAAAUGCUAGAGCUAAAAGUGAAGGGAAACUUUAUACAAACACUUUAUACAAACAGCAC
Mauremys mutica (yellowpond turtle) is the source of this 597-nucleotide long non-coding RNA. RefSeq lists it as uncharacterized. Lineage: Eukaryota; Metazoa; Chordata; Testudines; Geoemydidae. The transcript is spliced from 3 exons. The record is from RefSeq and is a predicted model, not a curated record.